Molecule: long non-coding RNA, 1893 nt
Filed under: Haliotis rubra (blacklip abalone)
Lineage: Eukaryota; Metazoa; Mollusca; Gastropoda; Lepetellida; Haliotidae
Description: uncharacterized LOC124276362
Source: RNAcentral
GGUGCCUGACUCAACCCAACAAAAGUACUAGAAUCUGUACUUUACUGAGAACGGGUAAUCCCAAAUAUAACAUAUGUUACAUUUGAUCACUUUCUAAAUGGCAUUGUUCAUUCACAAACCACAAUCUGUAAGUUGGUAUUGAUUGGUGAUAAAGGAAUACCUAGUGUAUAAAAACCUGUGAAGUAUUUACAUUGAUUUCUAUGUCUCAGGUCGAGACAGUCUGUGUUCUUUUUAGGAAUUUGUUUUGCAGUUUGAUUCAAACAUUUAUAGUUGGCAUGCAGAUGGCAAUACAUAAGUACUUGAAUAUAAAUAUAACAUUUGUAAUGUUAGCACCCACUGAUAUUCAUGACUUAAUCAUGUCAAUAUGGCUAACAGGAAUGUAAUUUCCACAGAUAUUCAUCAUUAUCAAUAUGGCUAACAGGAAUGUAAUUUCCACAGAUAUUCAUGACUUAAUCGUGUCAAUAUGGCUAACAGGAAUGUAAUUUCCACAGAUAUUCAUGCAAUUUACAAAACCUUAAAGGUCAACCUUAGGUAAGGAUGGUGUUCACUUUAUGCCAAAGGUAUAGCCACAUUAAAUAUCUGUUUCUGUUGCAAUGUUGUUGAAUGCGUUCUGUAACACGUGCAUAUGUUAUCAAUUACUGUUUGUUUCACUGUGAAAUGUGUUAAUUCUGUUACUAUCCAAGAAUCUGUGAUUCUGUACAAAGGAUAUUUUUACACCAGAAUCACUAGACAGAGAUAUCUAUUGUAGCUAAGGAUAUGUUUGUUAACAAAAGUGUUCAAUGUAUUAAAGUUGCUUGAUCAGGGAUGGAAGACCUUUUAGAGAGUUCUAGGCACCAUAUGUGGCCCGAUUGUCUAAAGUGCCGCAAUUCGCUGCACAGAGUUGUGACCCUUGGACACGCCAGAACCCUAUAAUUGUUGGUUCGACUUUUUAGAGAGUUCUAGGCUCCAUAUGUGGCCCGAUUGUCUAAGGUGCCGCAAUUUGCUGCACAGAGUGGUGACCCUUGGACACGCCAGAACCCUAUAAUUGUGGGUUCGACUUUUUGGGUCCCGAAAUACACAUCAUGUUGGAAAGUGUUCAUAAUAUCUCCAAAUCAUCAUCAUCUUGGGGUCGCAGUGAUAAUGUUGCUAGGUUACCUUCAUCAGAGUGGUAAAUGUUCAAGAUCUGUAUCUCCCACAUUAAGCUGACAUCUUGAUAUGGAUGAAAAACAUUUCCAAGCGGCAAGAAAACCAACAUGCCCACACUUGCUCUUGGGGUCGUAACAAUUUGUAACCCAAUACAGCACUUAUAUUUUAUGACUUGAUAUAGUUUUGUUCUGUAGGUGAAUUGCAAUGCCGAAUCUGUUGUUUAUACAUUCAGAGAUGGAAGAUGAUAUAAUGGCACAAACACAUAGCCUGGAAGGAGCUGGUUUGUAAUGUGCUAUUUACUGUCUACAGGAAUAUACUGGAGAAUAUGGGUAACAUGGUUGUUGACUAGUCAGUAAUUACUCUCAUGUAGCUUGUUAUGUACUGUAUCAUAUCUCUUGUGAUAAAGGAAUUGCAAAUUGAGGUAUUGUAUAAUUGGACUUGUAUCAGGAUGUGAUAUUGUAUUGAACAACGAGAAGAGUUCUAUGGAUAUACAACUUCUUUAAUAUAAUAUGAUCGACGUUUCGGUGUAGCUGCUAACAAGCAAAAUGAUAGCAGCUACACCAAAACGUCGCUCAUAUUAUAUUAAAGAAGUUGUAUAAUCCAUAGAACUCUCCUAUGUGUUCAUCACACCAACUUCUAAAUGCCACUCAAAGAAGAUGAUAUUGUAUUGCUGUAUUGUAAAACCACUACUGGCAAAGUUGUCCAUUUAUUUUAUUUUAUGAAAGCAAAUCAAUAUAUACUUUUCUGUAAUAUACCAGAUGAACCAGU